AAAGAAAAAUAUAGAUAGUAAGGAAAAUGAGAGUGCAGUUAAGAAAAUGUUGUCCAUGAUUUAUCUAACUUAUUCUUUAGCAAUAUAUAUAAUUAAUUAUAUAAAAUAAAAAAAUGAGGACUCAAGGAUUUUUAAUAUCCAUGCGAAUUUAGGAGGAGAUCAACAAACACUUUUUAGUUAGAGGAGAACCAUAACAUAUAGCAUAAUAUAUAUAAGCCCAAAACACAGGAGCUGAAACAAAAGAUCAGGAGCUCCUCUUAACAAGCAGAUCAUCUAAACCAGAAGAAGCCCAAGGAUUAAAUCUAGGAGUAGCGUAUGUGUUGAACUUGCCGAAAAUGAUUUUGUGCUGCUGUGUUACAUGCAGUUGGAAGAUCAUUCUCCAAGUCUUCCAGCGUAGUCUGCUUCUUGGAAUUUGAUUGAUCAGAAGAGAACAGAUGAAAAACCCUACCCAAAACAUGGUAAAACAUGGUGAAGAAGGAACAAAAAACCUUAGAGCUUCUCAGAACCAUGGUUUAUGGGUGCUCUAGUGACUAGGAACAGUUCUGGUGACUUUAUGAGAUUGAUCAAAAAUAUAUUCCAAAUGUGGAACCCACGGCUAUUAAAAAU
Molecule: long non-coding RNA, 606 nt
Filed under: Vitis vinifera (wine grape)
Lineage: Eukaryota; Viridiplantae; Streptophyta; Magnoliopsida; Vitales; Vitaceae
Description: long non-coding RNA (VVIN_LNC004594)
Source: RNAcentral